UUUGAUCAUGGCUCAGAUUGAACGCUGGCGGCAGGCUUAACACAUGCAAGUSGAGCGGUAACAGGGAGCUUGCUCCCCGCUGACGAGCGGCGGACGGUGAGUAAUGCAUAGGAAACUGCCCAGUAGUGGGGGAUAGCCCGGGAAACCCGGAUUAAUACCGCAUACSGCCUUUGGGGGAAAGCAGGGGAUCUUCGGACCUUGCGCUAUUGGAUGUGCCUAUGUCGGAUUAGCUAGUUGGUGGGGUAAGAGCCUACCAAGGCGACGAUCCGUAGCUGGUCUGAGAGGAUGAUCAGCCACAUCGGGACUGAGACACGGCCCGAACUCCUACGGGAGGCAGCAGUGGGGAAUAUUGGACAAUGGGGGCAACCCUGAUCCAGCCAUGCCGCGUGUGUGAAGAAGGCUUUCGGGUUGUAAAGCACUUUCAGUGAGGAGGAAAACCUUAAGUUUAAUACGCUUGAGGCUUGACGUUACUCACAGAAGAAGCACCGGCUAACUCCGUGCCAGCAGCCGCGGUAAUACGGAGGGUGCAAGCGUUAAUCGGAAUUACUGGGCGUAAAGCGCGCGUAGGUGGUUUGAUAAGCGAGAUGUGAAAGCCCCGGGCUCAACCUGGGAACGGCAUUUCGAACUGUCAGGCUAGAGUAUGGUAGAGGAGUGUGGAAUUUCCUGUGUAGCGGUGAAAUGCGUAGAUAUAGGAAGGAACACCAGUGGCGAAGGCGGCACUCUGGACC
RNAcentral lists this ribosomal RNA (728 nucleotides) under uncultured bacterium. Its description in RNAcentral is "bacterial SSU rRNA". It matches the Rfam family "Bacterial small subunit ribosomal RNA", at positions 12 to 735 of the family's 1533-position model. The record is from RNAcentral.